ACAGCACUGUGGAAGGUUCUUUUUUUCCAGGACUGACUGUGUUGUCUUAUGCUGUGAGAACCUGUGAGGGGUGAAGGCAGAGCCCUGUGCUGAAAGCUGCCAUUGACCCAAGAGCGAAAUGGCAAAGAGCUGCAAAACGCCAACAGCCACAAGGUGUGACAAGAGCCAAAUCCCACAGUGGUUGGGAGUGGUUGUUGGACCAGUGCUGACCCCUGGCUCUGUUCAAACAGCACUGUGCUCCGAUGUCACUUUGGAAUCUAAGUGGUUUCAAAGCCAAAAGAAACUGACUCUUUUCACAGAGCCAGCAUCUCCCCAGACAGCAGCACAACAACACAGUUACACUGGAGCCAGCAGGAAUAGCUGGUGAAGCCUUCCCGUGAUGACAAGCCCCCAGCUUGAUGCUCCCUCUGGAGCUCUAAUGGCUGCAAACAAAAGGAGACUCAAGAGAGAGACCCAUGGAAGGGCAGAAGCAAGGAGCAGCCUCUGCACAGUGUUCUCCUCUCCUUCCACUCAUCUUGGACAAUAUCACCAUAGAGCAAUCAUCACAGGACCACUAAAAAUUUAAAGAAACUUAAAAAGUUAUUUAGUUCAUUCUCCCGCUUUCAAAUGCAGGAUCAAAUUUAAAUCAACUCAUGAUAGAUGAUUGUUCCCCUGUCCUGAAGGAAUUUCUAGUUAUGGACAUGACUUAAUUUCCUUAGUAAUUUGUUUUUGUCUUUUUUCAGUCUUUACCAUUAGACAUUUUUCCCCAAUAGCCCACUAAACUAGGAAAUUUAAGCUCAUCAUUUAUUUUAGCAGACAGAGAAGCACUUUUUCCCUUCCUCACUGAGGAACACUCGACAUGUUUGAGGCUUCCAGGACAUCUUCCAGAACCCAUCUCCUCAAUUCCAGACUGGGAAAGGCAGACAGAUGUCUUUAGGAUCUGCAGAAGUUCCCAGAACUUUGUGACUGGUAAGGUGAACUGGGUGGUGAAGAGAAACCUGUUGUGUUGAGAAGCUCCUAGUCUGCUGAAGCCCCUGGACUUCAGGAAAGUACACAGAUAUGACAGAGGAUGCAGGGGUCAAUAUUCUCCAAGAACAUUUACAUAACUUCUUCAAAAGCAAUAAAAUGAUGAAAC
This is a long non-coding RNA of Passer domesticus (house sparrow), 1114 nucleotides long. RefSeq lists it as uncharacterized. The transcript has 3 exons. The record is from RefSeq and is a predicted model, not a curated record. Lineage: Eukaryota; Metazoa; Chordata; Aves; Passeriformes; Passeridae.